Brassica napus (rape) is the source of this 1311-nucleotide long non-coding RNA. RefSeq lists it as uncharacterized. The record is from RefSeq and is a predicted model, not a curated record. The transcript has 5 exons. Lineage: Eukaryota; Viridiplantae; Streptophyta; Magnoliopsida; Brassicales; Brassicaceae.
AAAAAAAAUCUCUACACCCUAAUUGGCUAUGCGUUUUCCUCUUCGUCUCUCUUGCUUUCAUAAGAAACAAAUCACCACCCUCCGUUAUUGCCAUCUACCAUUUAGGAACAAUAAUGUAUCAAACCCUCUUCAACAUCUUCUCUCUCUCCAACCUAACUUUAUAAACGGAUGGCGAGAUUGAUUUAAUUUUAACUGGUUUGACUAAGCUACUUUGAUCGAGAAAUUGGCUUGGAUCAUAAUUGGUGAAGAGCCAGAGAGAAGUUAGAUCUCUGUAAUCGUCAGUGUUUUGUUAGACGAUGCCGUUGAGGAUGAAGAUCUAGUCAAUCAAUAUCAAUUCACAUGAACUCGACCGACUGCACCAUGCUGACUUUUGAUGGGCAAAGGUGCCUGCCUCUUUGACUGCCGAAAGCUCUAUCGAGUUAGAUCUUCUCUCUGUUUUUUCUGCCAGCAAAACUCAAUCAGAGAGAGUUUGGUUCAGUACCGUAGUGUCUUUGUUCGUUUAGUUUAUUGGUUUUAGAUGGAUGUCAUUGAUGGUUUCUCCCUCAUGGCACACGAACUGGCUCGAGGAAAUAUAUAACUCAACCACAGAUCAGCUACAAAGCCAUCUACCAAAAGCCCCUUCUCCUUACCUCUGUCUUCCUCUAAUGAGCAUUGCCAAGAUCGCUCAAAUGCUGCUGGCGGGGAAAUGAUUUCUAACUCCAUGGGACCAUGUAGUGACCAUUUGUUUGGAAAUAAAAUGGAACCUAGCUGCUGAUGGAUGUAGUCAUGAGUUCUGCACAAAAUGUGCGUUAGACCUAAGCACCACAAACAUAACAACAUCAAAGACAUCACAAGCCACCCACACCAGGCUCAGUCCCAUGCCCUCUCCGUCGCUACAGCAUUGUCUCUUUCACCAAACUUUCCCAUACAACAACAACAACAAGAACAGAAAUAUCAUCAAGAACAAGUAUGCCGAAUGCAGCCACGGACGUAUACCACAAGUUGUUCCUAAAUAACUCGAAUAAACAGUCCAUGGAAACUCCUUCAGAAGCUUUUGUGGCUUCUACUCUAUACGAAGUUGAAGAGGAUAGAGUUGGUGUACCUCUUUUGAGUGAAAUAUAUGAGGUUCUUUGGAAGCUUGGCUUAAGAUCGAUCCCUCUCUGCUCCCCACUCCUAUGAAUUUUACAAUGUCCGAUUAUUGUUACAAGCAAAAACAAUGUAUAUGCUUAUUAUAUAUAUGUUGAUAAAAAAUUAUGCUUAUUAUAUAUAUGUUCUCGAAAUUGUUACUCCUAAAUCCUAAUGCUAAAAUAAUAAAAUUAAAUAUUUAUAUGA